This 467-nucleotide ribosomal RNA is filed under the name unidentified nematode Sourhope farm. RNAcentral describes it as "SSU rRNA". It matches the Rfam family "Eukaryotic small subunit ribosomal RNA", at positions 58 to 529 of the family's 1831-position model. The record is from RNAcentral. Lineage: Eukaryota; Metazoa; Nematoda.
UAUCAGUACACGCCUUCAUAAGGUGAAACCGCGAACGGCUCAUUAUAACAGCUAUAAUUUACUGGACCUUGAGCAGUUACUCGGAUAACUGUGGUAAUUCUAGAGCUAAUACGUGCACCGAAGCUGUUCCUCACGGAGCAGUGCAUUUAUUUGAGCAAAACCAGGCGGCUUCGGCCGUUUCUGCUGACUCAGAAUAACUAAGCUGAUCGCAUGGGCUUGUCCCGGCGACGUGUCUUUCAAGUGUCUGCCUUAUCAACUUUCGAUGGUAGUGUACGUGACUACCAUGGUGUUGACGGGUAACGGGGGAUCAGGGUUCGACUCCGGAGAAGGGGCCUGAGAAAUGGCCACUACGUCUAAGGAUGGCAGCAGGCGCGCAAAUUACCCACUCUCGGCGCGAGGAGGUAGUGACGAAAAAUAACAAGGCCGUUCUCUUUGAGGCCGGCCACUUGGAAUGAGUACAACUCAAA